AGCUGAGCUAAGGAGACAUAUAGCGUCGGUCUUCUAAACCGCAGGUCGCGCGUUCGAAUCGCGCAGGAGGCACCA
RNAcentral lists this transfer RNA (75 nucleotides) under Caudoviricetes sp. Its description in RNAcentral is "tRNA-Arg". It matches the Rfam family "tRNA", at positions 9 to 71 of the family's 71-position model. Rfam says of the family: Transfer RNA (tRNA) molecules are approximately 80 nucleotides in length. Their secondary structure includes four short double-helical elements and three loops (D, anti-codon, and T loops). Further hydrogen bonds mediate the characteristic L-shaped molecular structure. tRNAs have two regions of fundamental functional importance: the anti-codon, which is responsible for specific mRNA codon recognition, and the 3' end, to which the tRNAs corresponding amino acid is attached (by aminoacyl-tRNA synthetases). tRNAs cope with the degeneracy of the genetic code in two manners: having more than one tRNA (with a specific anti-codon) for a particular amino acid; and 'wobble' base-pairing, i.e. permitting non-standard base-pairing at the 3rd anti-codon position. Lineage: Duplodnaviria; Heunggongvirae; Uroviricota; Caudoviricetes. The record is from RNAcentral.